GGGGGCAACAGUCCCCUUACACCAGCCUGCUUUUCUUUAAAUUUGGUAGACAUACCACAGCUGUGGUCCUAAUGUAGCCAUUUUGGUAUCAUCAGCUGCUGGGGCUCCCUUCCUUCCAGCUGGCCACAUUAUUUAGCAGUCACGAGAUCUGGAUGAGACAGCUGGUGUGCCCACAUCAGGGACAAAAGAGGAGGUUUCCUUAGCAACAUGAAUCAUAUGAAAUAUGUCAGGAGAGCUCUUUCCUUAAAGUCACUCCUUCAGUGGUUUGCACCAUACGCUGGCUCUCCACAGACAACAAGGACCUGAUUCAUAAUGCACCUGGUGUGGUAAUGGCUACCUUUCAAAAAGAGCGCUACCACAGGUGCCAACUCUCCAUAAUCUGUAUCAGAAGAUUCCAUUGCAUUUUAAAUGUCACCUGAUGCAGAUUUGCAUUUGGGGAGUAUUACUCCUAGUUUUAUAGCCAACUGUUCUGUAAAGGGAGUCUGUAGUAGUUCUGCAUCUGUCACCUAUAUUUUUGUAUUGUAAUGAUG
This is a long non-coding RNA of Dermochelys coriacea (leatherback sea turtle), 530 nucleotides long. RefSeq lists it as uncharacterized. The record is from RefSeq and is a predicted model, not a curated record. NCBI's taxonomy places the organism in Eukaryota, Metazoa, Chordata, Testudines, Dermochelyidae. The transcript has 4 exons.